RNAcentral lists this long non-coding RNA (2861 nucleotides) under Homo sapiens (human). RNAcentral's name for it is "non-protein coding lnc-ZNF837-1:9". Lineage: Eukaryota; Metazoa; Chordata; Mammalia; Primates; Hominidae. The record is from RNAcentral.
AGUGGGAUCAUUGGGCGGUGGGCGGUGUGGAGGAGUCUCCGCUGGUCCGCAGAAACGAACGAAGGCGCGAGAAUCGGGAAGUUCUGCCUCAGUGACCUGUACGCGUCCUAGCCGCAGUGAAUGUUGCUGAACCCCGGUGACCUCACAGUGGAGGGGCGGCCCCAUGGGGCCAUCGGACCGCGCCGCGCGGGGGCGUUCGCCAGGGCCUCCGCAGAAGCCCGCCUGUGCCCGCAACCGCCCCGAAAUUCUCUCCCUGGCACCGUGUCCGCUUUACGGAGCCCGGAGCAAGGCUCAGAAAAAUGUCCCAGCCAAAAACAUGGUACAUGCCUGUCAUCAGGCAAGUCUUCAAAGAGCGGCUGGGACCAGGGGCCGAGGGACCUCGUUUAGAGGCGGCUUAGGGGGAAGGUCAGCAGUUGUGUUUCAGUUGUGUUGGGUUUUCGGCGCCCCACAAUGCGGGCGACGUAUGGGCCACAGGUGUGGAUGCCAGGGACAGGUCGCCCUGCACAUGGCUGAGGCACGGUAGGCUUGUAGUCUACCCCAUAUCAGGCCAUGGUGAUCUCAGGUAUGGGGGCCUGGGAGAGGAGAGUGAGUACAUGGCUGAGUACGUCAGAGCACGGGGUCAGGGACACAUCAGGGGAGGACGCUGGCAGGAGAAUAACCGGGCUCCUGGGUGUCCUCCGCUGAAUUCAGACGCGUUCAUGUUAGAGCAGGUGGGCCUGCGUCCUCCCGGACGAACGGAGUUCUUAGGCAAGGUCCAGAGGAGCUUCUACCUGAAGUGGUGCUGGAGAACUUUGCACUCAGUGCUGGGUGAGACCACUGGCACCAUAACUCUCCCCAGCCUCAACUCUGGUUUUUUUCCUCUGUUCUUUCCAUGUUCCCCUUGGAAGUCGCUGUUGGUCGUGGCACUGAGGCCCAGAUCAUGCCACCUCCUCUAACAAGUGGCUGAGUGGACACCCCACACAUUCUACCCAAGGGCCGUGAGUGGCCAAGAUCGGGGCUCAGAAGUCUCUGAAUCUUCACAGCUGGUCACGUUCAGCUCGGUCACUUCCUGUCUGUGUUUGUCUUGGAGUAAGGAUUAUUCUCGCUUGCUGGGGUCAUGGUGUUUUGGCCUCUCCUGGCCUGGACUCUCAAAAACUCAUCAUCCUUCAUAGGUCUGAAGGCUUCUACAUUCCCACCAGCAGGUGGACCAUAUGAACUCAAAACUAGUUGUGGCAGAGGGACCCUGAAGAGAUCUACCCCUGGUGAAUGCCCCCAGGAGUGGGCUGUUCUCACACCUGGUGCCCAGCCUGUGCCCUCGCAGGUCUUGGUGCCUCCACUCAGCUCAAUUCCAGUUUUCUGGCCAUGCCCCGCUGUGUCCCUUUCUCUCUCCUUAGUGCCUAGCUGUGCAAUGUUUGCCUCUCCUUAACAUGUCCUCAGCUGACCCCAUAUCCUCAGUCCUUGCAACCCUGUUCCUCAGUGACACCUGUGUAUUCUCUCCAGUGGAGACACAGGUGGGACACCCCCAAGCUCAUGGUACAUGCCUGUCAUCAGUACCCCUGGACUGUCAUGGUGGGUCAGUCUGCCCUAGGCUGGACUGACCAACCUGUUCAUUCCCCCACAGGAUUGCCCUUUACAGUUCAUGAGUUCCCCCAACUGGAGUGCAGACAAGAGCACUGAUUGAUGGACCAGGUAGACUUGAAACCAGGAAUAGCACAAAAGUUAUCAAAGAGGCUCAGCCAUGGAGAUUGCAAGCUGGGGAUGGAAGUAUCCCUGGAAUUGAGCUGUUCUCACACCUGGUACCUGAGUUAUACCCCUGGUGUCUGGGUACCAAGGUCACUAGCCUUGCCACUUUUCUAUGUUCCUGAUCCCCUACUAAACAGUCCACCUUUUCGCCUACUUCCCCUGACUCCUGUACCCUGUCCCCUCUUUCUGCCUAGUUUGAAGACACUGGUCAUCCCAUAACAUGUCCUGGGCUAAUACAUAUCCUCAAAUCGUUCUUGAAAAUCUGUUCCUCUUCCCUCCUCCCCCUCCCCCUCCCCCCCCCCCCGCUCUUUCCACGGUCUCCCUCUGAUGCCGAGCCGAAGCUGGACGGUACUGCUGCCAUCUCGGCUCACUGCAACCUCCCUGCCUGAUUCUCUUGCCUCAGCCUGCCGAGUGCCUGCGAUUGCAGGCGCGUGCCGCCACGCCUGACUGGUUUUCGUAUUUUUUUUGGUGGAGACGGGGUUUCGCUGUGUUGGCCGGGCUGGUCUCCAGCUCCUAACCACGAGUGAUCCGCCAGCCUCGGCCUCCCGAGGUGCCGGGAUUGCAGACGGAGUCUCGUUCAUUCAGUGCUCAAUGGUGUCCAGGCUGGAGUGCAGUGGCGUGAUCUCGGCUCGCUACAACCUCCACCUCCCAGCAACCCGCCUUGGCCUCCCAAAGUGCCGAGAUUGCAGCCUCUGCCCGGCGGCCACCCCGUCUGGGAAGUGAGGAGCGUCUCCGCCUGGCCGCCCAUCAUCUGGGAUGUGAGGAGCCCCUCUGCCUGGCUGCCCAGUCUGGAAAGUGAGGAGCGUCUCUGCCCGGCCGCCAUCCCAUCUAGGAAGUGAGGAGCGCCUCUUCCCGGCCGCCAUCACAUCUGGGAAGUGAGGAGCGUCUCUGCCCGGCCGCCCAUCGUCUGAGAUGUGGGGAGCAUCUCUGCCCUGCCGCCCCGUCCGGGAUGUGAGGAGCGUCUCUGCCCGGCCGCCCCGUCUGAGAAGUGAGGAGACCCUCUGCCUGGCAACUGCCCCGUCUGAGAAGUGAGGAGCCCCUCCGCCCGGCAGCCGCCCCGUCUGAGAAGUGAGGAGCCCCUCCGCCCAGCAGCCACCCCGUCUGGGAAGUGAGGAGCAUCUCCGCCCGGCAGCCGCCCC